ACUCCUACGGGAGGCAGCAGUGGGGAAUAUUGCACAAUGGGGGAAACCCUGAUGCAGCCAUGCCGCGUGUGUGAAGAAGGCCUUCGGGUUGUAAAGCACUUUCAGUAGGGAGGAAGGUAGUGUAGUUAACACCUGCACUAUUUGACGUUACCUACAGAAGAAGCACCGGCUAACUCCGUGCCAGCAGCCGCGGUAAUACGGAGGGUGCGAGCGUUAAUCGGAAUUACUGGGCGUAAAGCGCAUGCAGGCGGCCUGUUAAGUCAGAUGUGAAAGCCCGGGGCUUAACCUCGGAAUUGCAUUUGAAACUGGCAGGCUAGAGUCUUGUAGAGGGGGGUAGAAUUUCAGGUGUAGCGGUGAAAUGCGUAGAGAUCUGAAGGAAUACCGGUGGCGAAGGCGGCCCCCUGGACAGAUACUGACACUCAGAUGCGAAAGCGUGGGGAGCAAACA
RNAcentral lists this ribosomal RNA (447 nucleotides) under uncultured bacterium. Its description in RNAcentral is "bacterial SSU rRNA". It matches the Rfam family "Bacterial small subunit ribosomal RNA", at positions 335 to 774 of the family's 1533-position model. The record is from RNAcentral.